AUUGAACGCUGGCGGAAUGCUUUACACAUGCAAGUCGAACGGCAGCACGGACUUCGGUCUGGUGGCGAGUGGCGAACGGGUGAGUAGUGUAUCGGAACGUGCCCAGUCGUGGGGGAUAACGUAGUGAAAAUUACGCUAAUACCGCAUACGAUCUAUGGAUGAAAGCGGGGGAUCGCAAGACCUCGCGCGAUUGGAGCGGCCGAUAUCAGAUUAGGUAGUUGGUGGGGUAAAGGCCCACCAAGCCAACGAUCUGUAGCUGGUCUGAGAGGACGACCAGCAAAACUGGAACUGAGAGACGGUCCAGACUCCUACUGGAGGCAGCAGUGGGGAAUUUUGGACAAUGGGCGAAAGCCUGAUCCAGCCAUUCCGCGUGCAGGAUGAAGGCCCUCGGGUUGUAAACUGCUUUUGUACAGAACGAAAAGGUUUCUACUAAUACUAGGAGCUCAUGACGGUACUGUAAGAAUAAGCACCGGCUAACUACGUGCCAGCCGCCGCAGUAA
This 500-nucleotide ribosomal RNA is filed under the name uncultured bacterium. RNAcentral describes it as "partial 16S ribosomal RNA". It matches the Rfam family "Bacterial small subunit ribosomal RNA", at positions 30 to 523 of the family's 1533-position model. The record is from RNAcentral.